AGGUAGCAUAAUCAUUUGUUUUUUUAUUGAAAACUAGAAUGAAAGAGUCGACGAAAAAUAGCCUUUCGAUUUAUAAAAUUAAAUUAACAUAAAGGUUAAAAGGCCUUUAAGAACCGGAGAGACGACAAGACCCUAUAAAACUUUACUAUUAUUUUAACAAAAAUAGUUUAACUGGGGCGGUUGGUACUAAAACUGUACAAUAAAAAAUAUAAAACAUAAAAUUUAAGAACUUGAUAUUUAAAAUCUUGAACAAGUUACUUUAGGGAUAACAGCAUAAUUCCCCCAGAGAGCCCGAAUCGACGGGGGGGCUUAUGACCUCGAUGUUGAAUUGAAAAUCCUCGUGUAAGCAGCCAUACAUAGAGGUAGUCUGUUCGACUAUUAAAAUUUC
RNAcentral lists this ribosomal RNA (388 nucleotides) under Bragasellus escolai. RNAcentral describes it as "partial 16S ribosomal RNA". It matches the Rfam family "Bacterial large subunit ribosomal RNA", at positions 1954 to 2597 of the family's 2925-position model. The record is from RNAcentral. Lineage: Eukaryota; Metazoa; Arthropoda; Malacostraca; Isopoda; Asellidae.